Molecule: non-coding RNA, 123 nt
Organism: Chelonoidis abingdonii (Abingdon island giant tortoise)
Lineage: Eukaryota; Metazoa; Chordata; Testudines; Testudinidae
Source: RefSeq, a predicted model, not a curated record
CAAAUAGAACUGCUCAGGACACAGAUGGCCAGAGACGAGGCCACUCACAAACAAGAGAUGGAAAGGCUACAAAAACAAGAAGCAGCCAAAGAUUGCAGCCUUCCAAAGAGAGAGGGAGAAACA